GGUCAUGGCUCAGGGCUAGAGCACUCGCCUCGCACACGUGAGGCACCGGGUUCGAUCCCCAGCACCA
This 67-nucleotide transfer RNA is filed under the name Marmota monax (woodchuck). RNAcentral's name for it is "tRNA.Ala". The record is from RNAcentral. Lineage: Eukaryota; Metazoa; Chordata; Mammalia; Rodentia; Sciuridae.